AAGUCGUAACAAGGUUUCCGUAGGUGAACCUGCGGAAGGAUCAUUACCGAGUUAGGGUUUGCCUUUUUAGGUGCCCGACCUCCCAACCCUUUGUCUAUGAUACCUAUUGUUGCUUCGGCGUGCCCGAGGGGUCGUACCCUCGCCUGGACUCGUGCCGGGAGCGCGGCCGCCGAUGGCCCAAUUUAAAACUAUUGAACCCAAAACCUGUCGUCUGAAAACGUUAUGAUUUAUAAUCAAAAACAAAACUUUCAACAACGGAUCUCUUGGUUCUG
This 272-nucleotide unclassified non-coding RNA is filed under the name Strelitziana africana. RNAcentral's name for it is "partial internal transcribed spacer region". The stretch from base 1 to 46 matches the Rfam family "Eukaryotic small subunit ribosomal RNA", at positions 1786 to 1831 of the family's 1831-position model. Lineage: Eukaryota; Fungi; Ascomycota; Eurotiomycetes; Chaetothyriales; Trichomeriaceae. The record is from RNAcentral.